UGGUCAAGGGAUGGGAAUCGAACCCACGACCUUCCGCUUACCGGGCAGAUGCCAUGACCACUAGGCUACAUAUGC
Molecule: non-coding RNA, 75 nt
Organism: Cordylochernes scorpioides
Lineage: Eukaryota; Metazoa; Arthropoda; Arachnida; Pseudoscorpiones; Chernetidae
Source: the annotation of a GenBank genome assembly